GCCGAUUUAGCUCAGUGGUAGAGCAACUGCCUUGUAAGCAGUGGGUCGCAGGUUCAAGUCCAGCAAUCGGCUCCA
Molecule: transfer RNA, 75 nt
Filed under: Patescibacteria group bacterium
Lineage: Bacteria
Description: tRNA-Thr
Rfam family: tRNA
About the family: Transfer RNA (tRNA) molecules are approximately 80 nucleotides in length.
Source: RNAcentral